Callithrix jacchus (white-tufted-ear marmoset) is the source of this 843-nucleotide long non-coding RNA. NCBI's taxonomy places the organism in Eukaryota, Metazoa, Chordata, Mammalia, Primates, Cebidae. The record is from Ensembl.
ACUUUCCAGUCACAGAUAUGUACUCAGGCUAAUUCAACCAAUGAGCUAUUGAAUGUGCAGAGAAAGAUAAGGAAACAGAAAAUGUCUCAGUAGCUAUAUAGCUUGCCCUGGAAACUGGAACAUAGUUUAGAAAAUAAAGACAACUUGUUAUUUAAUAUUAAUUCUAGGUAACAUCUCCUCUGACAUUGCUGGUCCUUAUGCUGCAAGUGCACAAUUUCUUGUGAGCAUUUUCACAUCCUUCUGGUGUUACAGCUGCCAUGUUGUAAGCUGUCCUGUGAAGAGGGCCACAGGGCAAGAAACUCAUGCAACCAACAGCUAUUGAGGAGCUGAGGCUUGUUAGCAGCCAUGUAAGUGAAUUUGAAAGUAGAUUAAAAUGACUGUAGGCCUGACCUUCACCUUAUUUGCAGCACUAUGAGAAACCCUGAUGAAAGGAUUCACCUAAGCUGUACUGAACUCUUGACACUUAGAAACUGUGAGUAAUAAGUAGUUAUUGCUUUUAGUUGCUAAUGUUAGGCCAAUUUGUUAUGUAGCAGGAAUCUCUUAAGACACCAUGUAAUACAUUUAUGGUCUUUUUUCUAUUGAAUUGUAUGUAACCUUAUCAUUGAAUCAUUAAUUCCACUCAUUUAUUGCUAUAGACUUGCUGUAGCUCAUAUGUAAUAGAGUGUUUCCCCCUGCUUCACCUUUUUAUUUUAAAGUCAACUUUGGUAUUUGUUAAUUUUCUUCUUCAUACUUUUUAUGGUAAGUUCACUGAAUUUUUGAAAUAUAGUUAGAAUUUGAUUGAAUUUGCAUCGUUUAUUGACAAAUAUGCAGAAUUUAUAACUUUAUUUCACUAUAAUCUCAUUC